This is a long non-coding RNA of Gallus gallus (chicken), 377 nucleotides long. NCBI's taxonomy places the organism in Eukaryota, Metazoa, Chordata, Aves, Galliformes, Phasianidae. The record is from Ensembl.
AGGAGACAAUAUGGGGAUAAGAAACUCUUCGGCAAUCUAUAUAGACCCUGCAAUUCGUUCUUUUGCUGUGUGUGUGACCCAGGAGAGGGAUGCACACAUUCCAUUCCACUGGUCCAUGUACCAGCUCCUGUCUGCCCACAUCAGAAACCAGUAUGUGCCAUGUUCUCCCUGGCACUUCUGAAUGUGAAUCCUUCAUCUCGUGACAAGGGCUCAUGCCAUGUGCUACAAACCAAGGGGGAACAGCACAGCAUUCCUUAUUUCUGUUAUCCCGGGGACUUGCACGCCACUGCUCUUCCAUCUGUUUUAAGAGAGAAGUCAUUCAGCACAUCAACAUUUGAACUGCUGCUGGGACGAUGGGCAGAGCAGAGAUGGAGGAG